GGGAGAGAAAGGAAGUGGAGAACGUUCUUGCAAGAUGAUCUGUAUUUUCUCUCUAAAGCAGAGUUCAUUUGCUGAGAAUGAUGGAGAAAAUCAGCAUCUAGCUAAUCAGCUGACCAUGAGAUGCAGAGAUUAUCUGGAAUUAUCCAGAUUGGUCCAUUUAAUUACAUGAGUCCUUAAAAGUGGAAAGUGGAAGAAGAGGCAGAAGAGUGUGUCAGAGAGAUGCUGUGUGAAAAGGACUCAACCUGCCACUUGAGGCUUUGAGGCUGGAGAAAGGGGCCAUGAACCAAGGAUUGUGAGCAGCCUGUAAAAUCUGGAAAAGACAAGGCAAUACCCUUUGCUGUCUCAGGGUCAAACAUGCAACUCCUGCCUGCUUGUAUGGCCAGCUGGGUUCAAGAAGGAAGGAACCUCAUUGUUGACAGUUACCAGAUGAAUGUGCCCCUUCUGUACAGCUAAGAAAUGGAAUAGACAUUGGUAACCUUCCACAGGCCCACACAUGUGUUAUCAGCCAUACCUUAGGACAGAAGGAAUGAGUUUGCAGAAAGGAUGCUCUUCAGAACUCAUGAAGACAUAAGGUGCUUCAAAAGAGGAGACUUUCGGAACAUGAGCAGGGAAAUUGUCACUUGAUAGAUGACAAGCAUUGUGAGAAACAACAGUUUGCCUUUCUUCAUUCCCUUCCUGGUUAUCUUUCCUGUCACAUGAAGAAGAAAUGAAACACCAGAGAGAAUCAGGUUAUCAUCAUCUACACCAGCCACUGUCACUGGCCUUCAAAGUUCAACCUCCCUGGAACUCCAGAACUCCCCACUUUAUAAGAUGAAUGGCUAAUUGGAUCCUAGUACAUAAGGAAACACUGGCAAAAUAGCGACAACUCCAGGAAGGAAAUUGGUAGACUCAACGUCCAGGGAACCUACGAAUCUGCUAUCCCAAGCCUUCUGCCCCCAAACACUUCACCCUGAAAUACAGCCCAGAGCAUGCACUCAGUGAGUCCCACUGAAGAAGAGACGGAAGGCAGAACUGAACAAGAUGUGUCCAGAAGAGGUAGCCAUAGAUCAUGGACAUGACCAAAAGAAGCUUACUUUAUUUUCAACCCUACAACCAUACUGAGAAUUUAGCCCUGGGGACAUCUUCCGAUAUAAUCUGGCAUAGAAGAGUGGUUAUCACACCUUUAGCAUGGAUAGAAAUGCAAAACAAUAUUUGUAAUAGUCUGUGCUCACGCUGCUAUAAGGACAUACCCAAGACUAGGACCCUUGAGACACCUUUGCUGUGAAUAAUGGAGAAGCAAAAGGAGUUACUAAUGAAGACAAACUAAACCUGAGAACAGAGAGAGCCUAACUAUGUGCUCCAGAAGUGCCAUGUGUGUCUAAGGCUGUACAGGAAGCAUGGCACCAACAUCUGCCCAGCUCCUAGGGAGGCCUCGGGGAGCUUUUACUCAUGGUGGAGGGUGAAGCAGGAGCAAGUACAUCAUACGGCGAAAGCAAGAGCAAAUGAAGUUUCGCUCUUCUUGCCCAGGCUGGAGUGCAAUGGCACAAUCUCAGCUCACUGCAACCUCUGCCUCCUGGGUUCAAGCGAUUCUCCUGCCUCAGCCCCCUGAGUAGCUGGGAUUACAGGAAUUUUGGAAAUACAUCUGGUGCUUCCAGUGACUGUAUAAUAAUCAAUGUAUCCUGACUCUAAAGAAAAGCAGAAGUGAAACUGAAAGUACAGACUACAAGGUGGAAUAUGAUCCCUCUACUAUCAACUAAAAGUCUUAGACUUGCUACCCUUCUGAAAAUGGUUCUGAAGGGGCCCAGGAAGAAACCUCCUCUUCCCCAGCUGAGUUGAGAACCAAGUGGAAGACAAAGAAGUUAGACAGCAGAUGAAAAAGUGACCUGCCUUGCACCUUGCCAGUUGGCUUGCUAGCUCUCCCCUGAUUUGAACUUCUGACAACAGAACAUGCUCCACCAAACUUACCAUGUGAAGGACAGCACAUGGGCAUUCUUUCUGAGACCUGCAAAGAAAACAAAGGGAGAGGCUAAGCAGACAAAGGAAAACUCUUUCUUCUCAAAUCAAUCAGAUAAUGAACUCCUGUUCCCUUUAGGAGAAAUGAGUGGGUGGGGAGAGAAAAGCAAGCAGUUGACCUCUGGAGGUCCUUAGACUUAAAAACAUAAAGCCCAAGGAAGAAAAUUCCUCCCCAGCAUUAACUUGGACCAGUAAUGUUUUUCUAUUUAUAUUCCAUAUGUAAAUAUGCCUGUGAGGUAUUAUGUAUUGUCUUUGUGCCUUUAAGUGCAUUUCUUUAAAAAAUCUGUAACUUUAAACUUAAAUAGAAAGGCACAAAAUGGAUUGUUAUUUUAUACAAUGGAGUUCU
Long non-coding RNA from Homo sapiens (human), 2338 nucleotides. The record is from Ensembl. NCBI's taxonomy places the organism in Eukaryota, Metazoa, Chordata, Mammalia, Primates, Hominidae.